RNAcentral lists this ribosomal RNA (476 nucleotides) under uncultured bacterium. RNAcentral describes it as "partial 16S ribosomal RNA". It matches the Rfam family "Bacterial small subunit ribosomal RNA", at positions 28 to 523 of the family's 1533-position model. The record is from RNAcentral.
GACGAACGCUGGCGGCGUGCCUAACACAUGCAAGUCGAGCGAUGAAGCCCUUCGGGGUGGAUUAGCGGCGGACGGGUGAGUGACACGUGGGUAACCUGCCUCAAAGAGGGGGAUAGCCUCCCGAAAGGGAGAUUAAUACCGCAUAAUAUCAUGUUUUCGCAUGAAGAUAUGAUUAAAGGAGCAAUCCGCUUUGAGAUGGACCCGCGGCGCAUUAGCUAGUUGGUGAGGUAACGGCUCACCAAGGCCACGAUGCGUAGCCGACCUGAGAGGGUGAUCGGCCACAUUGGAACUGAGACACGGUCCAGACUCCUACGGGAGGCAGCAGUGGGGAAUAUUGCACAAUGGGCGAAAGCCUGAUGCAGCAACGCCGCGUGAGUGAUGACGGCCUUCGGGUUGUAAAACUCUGUCUUUGGGGACGAUAAUGACGGUACCCAAGGAGGAAGCCACGGCUAACUACGUGCCAGCAGCCGCGGUAA